AUCGUAGUACCACCACUGCCUGGGAAAGCCUUGAAGCGGCAGCUCCCUUUCCGAGGAGAUGAAGGGAUCUUUGAGGAGUCUUUCAUUGAAGAAAGGAGGCAAGGCCUCGAACAGUUUAUUAACAAAAUUGCUGGGCACCCACUGGCUCAGAAUGAACGCUGUCUACACAUGUUCCUGCAGGAGGAGGCAAUUGAUAGGAACUACGUCCCUGGGAAGUUGGCUACCCAUCCCCUGGCUUGAUAGACCGUCCUGCAUUGUGCCCCUUGGUACCAGACUACACCGUGUGGGCGCUCUGCUAGUAUCUCUUCUCUGAAGAGAG
Molecule: long non-coding RNA, 319 nt
Filed under: Mus spicilegus (steppe mouse)
Lineage: Eukaryota; Metazoa; Chordata; Mammalia; Rodentia; Muridae
Description: lncRNA (ENSMSIG00000018388.1)
Source: RNAcentral